Molecule: long non-coding RNA, 387 nt
Filed under: Cavia porcellus (domestic guinea pig)
Lineage: Eukaryota; Metazoa; Chordata; Mammalia; Rodentia; Caviidae
Description: lncRNA (ENSCPOG00000034723.1)
Source: RNAcentral
CCGCUUCCGGGAAAGGCCGAGGUCUGUCGGGCCUAGCAGUUGCGCAUGCGCAGAAUACAGCGGCAGUUGCACGCCUGAGUCCGAGCUGCACGAGUGGGUCACGCCUCCUGGCACUUGCUAAGGAACAUGUGGGUGCGCGGGAAAGACCAGCCCUCUGGACUUGUUCUCUCAAGCCUUCCUGAGCUCCAGCCCACCUGCAGCCUAUAUUAAAGAAAAUGGAAAAUAAGUGGUCUAUGUCCAGUGAAAUCAAAUCAAAUAAAUGGUAAGGAGCCUAUUAAACUGAAAAAUAAUCUAAAAUUAGCUGAAAUUAAGCUACUUAGGGUUUAAGUUGGUGGUUAAACUUAAACCUUUGUGUUGGUUACUUUUCUCUUGUUGCUAGGACAAAAU